GCUUAAUUCUCUAAAUGCAAGACAAGGAUACAUAGAGUGCAUUAAUACUGAGAGGUGUAAGCAGCAGUUUUCUUAUUAAAUUUUCUAUUGUUACAUUCCUGCCUUCCUGUGCGAGCAGAACUGAUGGGCUGAAGGCAAAAGCUGCGCCCCAAGCACAAGAAAAUCUUUCAUUCAAUCAGUUUUAAAUACAAUAACUAAAAAGAAAAAAAUUUAAAGGUUGAAAUUAAAACUAGAUGAGAACUUGAUAUCCCUACUUCUACAAAGCAAAUCCAUGGCAACUACACCUCUUGUUGAUCAAAACCAACCAACCACAAUGAGUUCCCAAUGCAGUCAACAAGCCACAAUAAGAGCCAAAAGCAUCAACUUCUCAAUUCCCCUCACUAGUACAUCACACCAAUUUUCUUAGCAAAGUCAUCUCCAUCUUCAUCGUCUGCAUAUUGCUCUUCUGCGUCUGCAUUUUCACCCUCCUCAUAAUACUCUCCUUCAUCAACUUGCUCAUAUUCAUAGUCCCCUUCCCUUUGAUCAUCAGCUUCAUACUCAUGAUCUUCCACACCAUCUUCCACAGUCAUCACGUCCUCAGUCUCGGGCUCACUUGGAUUAGGCUGUUGAGAAGCAUGUUGAUCAGCUGCAACUUCAGUAGACUCUCCAACAGUCCCAACAACACCAGCAGCUGCAGAAUUGGAUUUUUCAUCUUUAAGCACUUGCUUGCUGGCUUCAUCCUUUGUGGAUGAAAGAUCACCUCGUGUCUCUGCAACUCCUGCACUGUAGGAGUUUCCGAGCAAGCUUUCCUUACUUUCUUUCUGAUUAUUUUCAUUCUUACUGACAAAAGAUACUCCACUCCCAGUAGCUGCGGCUUCAGCCUCUCUUUUUCUCUUCAGAAUCUCACUAAGAGGCAUUGGGCCUUCGAAAGAAAGAUUGCCUGAUGGUCGAUGAUCUUCCAGUUGUUUUCUCUUUCCAAGGGAUUGCUGCAUCCUACCCUCUAUAUUUUUUGUACCUUUCAGCUCUGCCAGACUUUUAGGACCAGCAAAAUCAGUUCUCCUCUCAUCUGUCAUUUCCCUCCUCAUUCGCAUACCUCUAAGAUUUCUACCUUCAGUAUUGUAGUCCUCUUCCACCCUAGCUUUUAUUCUGUCACGAAGCCUGCCUUGAUGAGAUGGGAUCUCUGACAUCCCAGAUGACAAUCUGCCCCAAUUCCUACCUCUGCCUAUUUCCAUUUCUACAUGUAAAUCACUGCCAUUGGUAGAUCUUUCUGGAAGCUUUAUCCUACCAUGAAGAAGGCUACUCAUAGAGCUUUCACGCGAGGGAAAAUUAUGCGAGUCCCUUUGUGAAGAACUCCAAUGACCUCUCUCCUCAACGUGGUUUUCUGGGAAAAAAUCAUGACUGACAACUGAUCUCAAGCCAUGAACUCUCCUCUGUUUUGACAAGCGAUAGCGCAGAUCUGACUCAUCAAUGAGUUCAGGGCUAUCUGCUUUUAAGUACGCUCUCCGUUCCAAAUGAGCUGGCCCAUCUAGCACUCUCUCUGAUGAAUCCCUACGUUGUUCCCAAGCAUGUUGCCCUUGCAUGAGUUCAUAUGUAUCAUAGUCUCGUAGAUCACGAUAUGUUUCUCGGUCAAUGUCAGCAACUGAACUGUAAUCAGCAGAAUGACCCAUAUCAUAUUCAUCCACAGGGUUCAAGCUCCUUCCUUCACGACCUCUUGUCCUUCCGUACUGAUCUUCACCAUGGUAAUAAUCAGAAUUUCUCAACUCAUUAUCUACAAGAACAUCAAAACCAGGAGAGGACUCCCUCAAAAACUCAUCAGCAUCCUUACCAUUCUGGAAAACAUGAUCAUCUUGUACUUGUGACUGAUGCACGCGAUUAAAAUGACUUGAGCUUCCAUUGACAACAGGAAGAAGAUUUGUUGCUUUGUAUUUAGAAAGCUCAGCAUCCAUGCUUUUAGAUGGUGGAAGAUUCCUUUCAACCCCUGCCCCAUUUCUUGGUGGAACAAUUUCUGGUUUAGAAGCAGGUUUAGCUUCAGCAGGUGCUCCAGCUCCCUUCGAGGAAUUUGCCUGUGGAGUCUUAUGGUCUUGAGACAACUUUUGAGGGCCACCAGAAGCCUUCUUUUGAGGUAAGAGUUCAGUACUAGAGUGUACCAUCGACUGUGAAACUUUGUUACUAGUAGGAUUAGGUCCAUGUAAGAAAGCACAUCUAUCACCUUUUAAGCAGAGCCCCUUCUGGAAGAAAAUGCAUGGGACUGCUUGUUUAGCUGAAUUUUGAGGUGUGUUCAUGGCAGUUGCCACUGCCAUAUGUGAUGGAGGUAAAGAGGAUCCAGCAGAAGCUGAUGCUUGGGUUCCAAACAAGCCAUCAAGGGGCUGAAAUAAGAAUAUUAACAUUCAAUGUCUAUAAGCUUGAACAAAUAAUUAACUAAUAAAACAUAUAAUUUUUAAUGACAAGAAGAAGAAAUUACUAAUUUACUGGUCCACAUAAAAAAUAAUAAAAAAAAUUUCCUAAUACCUAGAAAAGGUACAAAAAGAACAUAGCAAGGAAAUUGUAAGGCCAAUAAAAAACAAGAUAAGAUACUUACUGGGUGACGAAACCCACACUUUGGAUUCAAGCAAUUCCCAUUCAACCAGAAGUAACAAUCCCUUGGGUUUACGCGGGCAUAUUCACUAUGGCGAUACUCACAUUCACUUCCCUGUUGACAGAAAUUACAAAUAAGGAGCAAUAUCAACUGGAGUGGAUGGUCAAGGCAAAAAGCCCUGGGAAGCAAACAAUUCAUGAAUUCUAUUCUGUCAAUGAAAGCCUAUUUUUGGAAUAAUUGCUCAUUGUUCACUUUAUAUGUAGCAAAAUAUUCACGACAAGUUCAAGCUGCUUCCUGAGAAAGAGCCAAAAACACAGGAGUGAAAGACUACUAGCAAUACUACUGCAUUAAACCAUCCUAUGAUUCCUAUCCCAGAAAAUGGUUAUAUUAUUUUCUCACAAUUUGGUGUUAAAUCCUUGAUAUUAUGUCCUCAGAAGCGAAGUUAGCAACAAAGCAGUGUAAAACAUGCCAAGUAACUACAUAAUCAUCAAAACUAAACAAAAAGAAACGCAAAUCGAUCUCUAUCAAUAUCUACACAAUCAGGUUCGCAAAGAAAGAAACUUUUAUCUAAACAGAAAUGCUACAUAUGUCAAUAUACACAAUCUCUGUUGACACACCAUCAAGAGAAAUACAAAUCAGACGCCUAAAAAUACAACAUAAGAAUCAGAUUAACCAGGUAUACUCAUUAAAUUCAAAAGGGAAUCUUCCUACGAACGAAUAGAAACCUUAAAUGCAUCCAACAUCAUGGAAACCUAAUACAAUAAAGCCAAAUCGUAAAUCUGAAACCCUACGUAGAAACAAGCACAAAUAUCCCCAAACAGCAAUGAUAUCAAAAACAAGAAGGAACAAAGAUAAAAGCAUAACAAAACAAAACCUUUUUGCAGGUUAAAGGAGAAGCAAGAAAGUAAACGCAAUCCGUAUUCCUUUUCAAGGCCUCUUCUUCUGCAGACGGCACCGUCGCUGUUGCUUGCUGCUGCUGCGUGGCCGCAAUCAUGGCUGUUCUUUUCUAAAGAAACCCAAGAACACCUAGAUCUAUUCGAUUUCAGAUCGAGCUACACAGAGUGAGAUGAGGCAAGAACCGAUCCAAGAAUCAAGAAAGAGGAAGAACUGGAAGAGCCGCCACCGCAACAGAGGAAGAGGAGGGAGCUAGAGGAAGAGGAGGAGUGUUAAGGUAAAGAAGAGAGGGAGAGAAGGGCAAAUUGGAAGCUAUUGGAAGCUAAAGGCUAAAAGAGGCAAUAGCUUUUUCUUGUUUUUAAGGUGUUGAAAAAAGGGAGAUGAGAAUGGAGACGUG
Molecule: unclassified non-coding RNA, 3845 nt
Filed under: Hevea brasiliensis (rubber tree)
Lineage: Eukaryota; Viridiplantae; Streptophyta; Magnoliopsida; Malpighiales; Euphorbiaceae
Source: RNAcentral